RNAcentral lists this ribosomal RNA (437 nucleotides) under Pseudomonas sp. ITRH23. RNAcentral's name for it is "bacterial SSU rRNA". It matches the Rfam family "Bacterial small subunit ribosomal RNA", at positions 30 to 466 of the family's 1533-position model. Lineage: Bacteria; Pseudomonadati; Pseudomonadota; Gammaproteobacteria; Pseudomonadales; Pseudomonadaceae. The record is from RNAcentral.
AUUGAACGCUGGCGGCAGGCCUAACACAUGCAAGUCGAGCGGAUGAAGAGAGCUUGCUCUCUGAUUCAGCGGCGGACGGGUGAGUAAUGCCUAGGAAUCUGCCUGAUAGUGGGGGACAACGUUUCGAAAGGAACGCUAAUACCGCAUACGUCCUACGGGAGAAAGCAGGGGACCUUCGGGCCUUGCGCUAUCAGAUGAGCCUAGGUCGGAUUAGCUAGUUGGUGAGGUAACGGCUCACCAAGGCGACGAUCCGUAACUGGUCUGAGAGGAUGAUCAGUCACACUGGAACUGAGACACGGUCCAGACUCCUACGGGAGGCAGCAGUGGGGAAUAUUGGACAAUGGGCGAAAGCCUGAUCCAGCCAUGCCGCGUGUGUGAAGAAGGUCUUCGGAUUGUAAAGCACUUUAAGUUGGGAGGAAGGGCAUUAACCUAAUUAC